AUGGCCCACCACGAAGCCGUGAGUGCCCUGAGGCACGCGGGAAGUUGCAUUAAGAUGAAAGUGCUGAGGGAGAAGGGGCUGCCAAUCCAGGUUUGUGUCCAGGACAACCCAGCUGCCCGGGAGACGGGUGUAAAGUUGAGUCCAGAGCGAUUCCACCACGAGGAGGUGGGAUGCCAGACUCCCAAGGGCGUGCACACGCACACGCCCGGGAGGGUCGAUAGUGUGUCCUGUAAUGGAAACUUAGAUCUGGAGAUGGAACCGAGCUGGAAGUUAUUCCGACAGGAGCCAGACGCACGGACGAUAACAAACCCCUUUGAAGGGGAGAAAGGCACCAUGACGCCUCCACCUGGUAAACCUAUCAACAGAAGGCACAACCACGCAGACAACCAAUUAGCAGCCAAUCAACCCUCUCUCAACUCACCAUCGAGGUUGUCUAGCCAGUGGAUGCUGAGUAUUAUGGGACAGCAUCCGGGAAAGCGAGCCAAUCCCUUACUUCCUAUCCCUCGGAUUAUCCUGACACAUCCGUCCACCUCGGACGAUGACGUGGACACCUCGUCUCAGGGGGCUGAGGGAGAGCUGUUGCUAGCCGACUCUGCUUCGGCUGAUGUUCACGUCCAGUCUGGUACCUCAAAGAGCCCUCACUACCCGCCGUGA
RNAcentral lists this long non-coding RNA (654 nucleotides) under Gadus morhua (Atlantic cod). RNAcentral's name for it is "lncRNA (ENSGMOG00000032124.1)". Lineage: Eukaryota; Metazoa; Chordata; Actinopteri; Gadiformes; Gadidae. The record is from RNAcentral.